UUUCUUAACCUAGCCACCGAAUACAUUAGCAUGGGAUAAUGGAAUAGGACCCUGACCUCCUAUUUUCAGUUGGUUUUGUUUACAGCGAGGUUAUAUCAGGGUAAUGAUUAAUAGGGAUAGUUGGGGGCAUUAAUAUUUAAUUGUCAGAGGUGAAAUUCUUGGAUUUAUGAAAGAUUAACUUCUGCGAAAGCGUUUGCCAAGGAUGUUUUCAUUAAUCAAGAACGAAAGUUAGGGGAUCGAAGACGAUCAGAUACCGUCGUAGUCUUAACCAUAAACGAUGCCGACCAGCGAUUAGGAGACGUUGAAUACAAAACACCGCUGUUAAUCCUUUCGGGGGUUAAUAGUUGGUGAAUGACUCCCUAGCAGCUUGUGAGAAA
Molecule: ribosomal RNA, 377 nt
Filed under: Acanthamoeba sp.
Lineage: Eukaryota; Discosea; Longamoebia; Acanthamoebidae
Description: SSU rRNA
Rfam family: Eukaryotic small subunit ribosomal RNA
Source: RNAcentral